GUUUAGCCCUGAUUGAAACGACAUCCUUUUGCUUUUUAUGCAAAAAGAUACAGUGGAAAGCAGGAAAUAGC
This 71-nucleotide small RNA is filed under the name Polaribacter atrinae. RNAcentral's name for it is "Flavo-1 RNA". It matches the Rfam family "Flavo-1 RNA". The record is from Rfam by way of RNAcentral. Lineage: Bacteria; Pseudomonadati; Bacteroidota; Flavobacteriia; Flavobacteriales; Flavobacteriaceae.